RNAcentral lists this ribosomal RNA (431 nucleotides) under uncultured bacterium. RNAcentral's name for it is "bacterial SSU rRNA". It matches the Rfam family "Bacterial small subunit ribosomal RNA", at positions 28 to 476 of the family's 1533-position model. The record is from RNAcentral.
GACGAACGCUGGCGGCGUGCUUAACACAUGCAAGUCGAGCGGUAAGGCCUUUCGGGGUACACGAGCGGCGAACGGGUGAGUAACACGUGGGUGAUCUGCCCUGCACUCUGGGAUAAGCCUGGGAAACUGGGUCUAAUACUGGAUAUGACCGUGGGAUGCAUGUUUCAUGGUGGAAAGCUUUUGUGGUGCAGGAUGGGCCCGCGGCCUAUCAGCUUGUUGGUGGGGUAAUGGCCUACCAAGGCGACGACGGGUAGCCGACCUGAGAGGGUGACCGACCACACUGGGACUGAGACACGGCCCAGACUCCUACGGGAGGCAGCAGUGGGGAAUAUUGCACAAUGGGCGGAAGCCUGAUGCAGCGACGCCGCGUGAGGGAUGAAGGCCUUCGGGUUGUAAACCUCUUUCAGCAGGGACGAAGCGUGAGUGACGGU